UACGGAGGGUGCAAGCGUUAUCCGGAUUCACUGGGUUUAAAGGGUGCGUAGGAGGGCAGGUAAGUCAGUGGUGAAAUCCCCGAGCUUAACUUGGGAACUGCCGUUGAUACUAUCUGUCUUGAAUAUUGUGGAGGUGAGCGGAAUAUGUCAUGUAGCGGUGAAAUGCUUAGAUAUGACAUAGAACACCAAUUGCGAAGGCGGCUCGCUACACAUAUAUUGACUCUGAGGCACGAAAGCGUGGGGAUCAAACAGG
This 253-nucleotide ribosomal RNA is filed under the name uncultured bacterium. RNAcentral's name for it is "partial 16S ribosomal RNA". It matches the Rfam family "Bacterial small subunit ribosomal RNA", at positions 524 to 776 of the family's 1533-position model. The record is from RNAcentral.